GGAAUACACAGAUAGAAAGCAAGCCCUGAAAAAAGAUGUUCUUAUUCAUUUGAUCCUCUUUUUAAAGGCCAAACAGUUACACAAUCAUUUUGACAAGCCUUUAACUCUUUAACAGGGGAUCAGGAAAAUUCUAAAGAUAUUACAUUUCAGUCCUACAAUGGCUGAAUCAAACGCGGUAUGUUUCAUAUACAGUUUGCAAGGACAAGGCCAAUCAGCCGCAAUCAGAAUACCUCAGCUGUGUUUCAGGAGAAAGGUUAUUUACUGGGGUCAGUUUUUAUCCCUGAAAAAUUGGUUUUCUUUUGGAAAUUGCCUUCUCUGGAAAUAUGAUUCGCUUUUCAUAAAAAUAUCCUUGAUGCUAUUUUUAUUAUUUUUCUCUCACUCACUAUGUUUUAUGAUCCAUUGUGCCAGUGGCCUGGGUUUUGCCAGCCAUGAAACAUUUCGAGAAGUAACCCCUGGGGGUAGCAAAGGAUGGCCAUCUGUAGAUGAUGCAUAAAAUCUGUAAUCUGGCAGAAAUCAGCUAAUUAAUUAGGCCCACCUUGAUGUUUAUAUUCUAUAUCUAAAAAUGUUUGUUUUAGUAAUGGUUGCCAACCACUGAAGCAAUUCGAAGACCUAAAAACUCUUAAAAUUUAUUUUCAGAUCAGUGGAAUGAACACGAGUAUGCUGCCCGAAUUUCCAAGUUUAGUAAACAUGUCUCCCCAGUCCAGUGGCGCUGGAUGAGAAGGGUCACCAGGCCACUUCACUAGGGUUGACAGUGGACCUGCUGAUGUCAGCACCCGCUAAUCUCCCAAGGUAUGAAUACAACGAAGGUGACAGCAGAGAUAAGCGCACCCUCGGGGCAGCAGAAGGGCCUCCCGAGGGCAUCCAGAGGAGCAGAUCCCUGGGGAGGUGACCCACAUUCUCCUUGUGCAUUGCUAUGCCCUGUCUCUGUGACCCUAGGAAGGGCUCAGACAAGCCCAGGAGGAGACAACCCCUGGCAGCAGAGAGGCCAGCUGGCUUAUCCUCUCACAGACCUUUGGAUGUGUUAAUGCAACGUUCCCAUCAGAUGAACAAGAACAACUGAAGUGACCAAAACGUGUCAGGGCUUCCCCUCCCUCUGGACAGACUGAAGCAGGCAGUGCCCUGCUCUGGAGCAUGGGAUGACCAAGGGUUAAUGCAACCCAGGCUCUCAGAGUUGCAGCAAGGAUUUCCUUCUCAUCACAUCUCAGCGUUCUGGAAGCAGGCUGACACCUUUUUAAGUUGGAAACAGUUUCAUUCAUUUUUCAGAUGGUAAAAGUGUGGGACCAGCUGCAUGGAUUCCAGAAGAGUUUAAGGAGUGUGGAUGUUUGAGAAUCCCUGCUGUCUAAAGGAUCCUUAGAAAGGGUGAUCCAUCCACCAAGAUCCCACAGAGAGCCUUGGGGUUGGAGGGAACAAACCCUGAUAAGUAUUAAAUUCCAUGGUGAACGUGGGAAAUGUGCCUUUUCACUGAACUCUUUGAAGAAGCCUAAGCUACACAAUGCUAUUAUUAUUUUGGGGGAUAAGGGACUUGGCUAAGAGAUUAAAUCAUGUGAGCAGUCUAUGCAGAGCUCAGGAACUGGGGCCAGGGUUCUGACUCCACUUUCUGCUGCCUACAGGAAGCCAGGCCUAGGUUCCUCACUUCCUGUGGGUUGCUUUACAGACUCUACCAUUGAAAUCAAUUCUUUAAACGUUUAAGUAUGAUAGAGACGGUACAUUCCAAAAAGGACAAAAUUUACUCUGCCAAGUAGUACCUAGCUCAGUAGGAAUGAUAAAGAUUGUUCACUUGCCCUGGGAGUUCACGUUGAGGAACUAAGGAUAAGAUGUAGAGGAGAGAUCCGGGCCAGGGCCCUGCUGCAGUUUCCAUUUCAGGCCACUCAGGACCCCUUCUCUUCUCGCCUGUCCCCUUAAAAAUAUGUAAAUACACUUGUAAAUAGAGUUAAAAGAGAUUCAGAGCCAGGAGGUAAUGGGCUGGAGGGUUGGAGAGGGAGGGACGAGGUCGGGAAGGGCGGAAUGAAUCCUUUGAAGGGGAGGUGACCCAGAAGAAAGGCCUACCCUCUCUGGUAUCAUCCUUGGCAGGGAGGGGGGGUGCCUCUUUCAUCCCCCCCCCCCGGGGGGGGACUUUCCCCACUUUCCAACACUCAUUUACCUUCAUCAUUUGUCCCUGGCUCUUCCACCCUCUUCACCUCCCUCCGGCACCCUGGGGGGAACAGAGGCGAGCCUGCUAGGCUCUUAAGUGAGGUGGGGAGGGGAGGGGAUGCCCACAGGGAGGGCAGCCGGAGCUGGGUAUCACCCCCCGGGACCCCUGGACCAGACGAAGCUGGCCAGGUCCUCACAGCCGCUGCGCCAGGAGCUUCUCAUUGGGACGUCCUCCUCCAGGACGGAUGGGUCUUUUGGGCGCUGGGCUCAAUGGAAAUGCUCUGUGGUUCAGAGCUCUCUCCUGCUCCAACAGGCAGGACACCAGAAGGCUAGGGUUGCUUUGUUGCCGCAGCAGCAGAGACUUGAAACGGUGGGCGCGUUAGGGCAGGUUUAUGAAAGCACAGGUACACUGGGAGCGAGAGCGGGGCCGCCGGGCACGCAGGGACUGGCCCGCUUCACAGGUGGGUUUUCCUUGUGUCCCCACGCUAGGGACCUGAGUGGGGGCCUGCUUCUCCCACCCCGGCCCAGUGAUCCAUCCCGCCCUGGCCCUCCGCGAGUGUAAGGGCUGAGUGUCGAUUGGUCUCUCAUGGGGCGUAUUUGAUCUUCCCAUUGGUCUCGGGCAAGAUACCGUAUUUGCACGCGGGGCAGGUUAUAGGGACGUUCCUGUGUUCUUAUUGACCCAGCGAAGGCGUGAUGAGGAGUGGGCCGCAUACCUUUGCUCGUAAGGUCGGGGAGGGGCAUUACAGAGCCACCUGUAGGGCAAUGAUAAGGAUCUGGUAAUUCUUGUCUUGGCCAGAGGCUUUGAGUAGAGUCUCUUUGAGGGGGACUCGAAGUUAACAUUCUUCCUUCUUUCUCUUGGGGCAAGUCUUUGGCCCCUUUGAACACCCUGCUCAUGUUUCCCUCUAUGGCAUCUGGGAACCCAGAUUAUAAGGGAAGAGGGGCGACAACCAUUCUGGCUGCUUCCUGCUGAACGUGGGUGUUGCAGGGCUCUGGGUUCCUUCUGCCUGCUCUCAGGGCAUUCCUGAAGAGGGCGGUGUGGCCCCACGGGGCGCUGUGAUGGCUUUUUUCAACAUUGUCAGGUGUUGAUUGGUUGAUAUCCCCACUGUAUAUCAUUUGGAGACUUGUUUGUUGUAUUCUAGAAGAAACAAACUUAACCGGCCGAUGAAAAGUUGAGGCCAAAGAUCAGAAAGAGAAUUAUUGUAAUGAAGCCACUUAGUGUAGUCAUCUGUUUAACGUAAGUGUAACAGACGCAGUCAGGAACAAUUGGAGAAGUGACGGUCUGAGUGUUGAUAGACAGAGGAGAUCCCACUUUUUCUAGAAUAAGUCUGAAAGCCAACCUGGACCUGGCACUUUGAGGGGACUUGUGAGGUCCAGCUUUCUCUGUAGCACAGGAGCCCGCCCUUGGCUGCAUGCCCGCCCCUGCCUGUUACCCACCCUGCCACCAGGCUGCACAUAGAAGGCCUAUGAGCUCCAACUCUCAGCGGAUCACCCCACAUCCCUCCCACCCUCACCCUGCAGUGCUCCUGGCUGCCUCCCCCCCACCCUCCUGCCCCUCACUGGGUCUCCUACCAGCCAGCAUCCUUGCCCCCUACUCCCUACGCACUGCACCCUAGGUUCUCAGUGGCUUCUUGGCCAUCCAGAGGAAAUCAACCUUGACCAUUUGGUCAAGGACCCCAUCUUCCUGUGCUGCCUCCAUCACCUGGUUGCACUUCUAAUGGGCAGAUGAGCCCCGCCGCCCCACCCAGCCUUUGAUAAAAUAGCGUGAACAUUCCUGUCUUCUUUGUCAGUGCAGGGACCAAAACCAAAAAACAAAACAAAGUAACUGAAGACAAAUAAAUGAUUGAAAGUGAGAAAAUUAGAAUAUCAGGAUGGAAUUUGAAGCACAUUCCUGUAGCAGCUGUCAACAUUUAAUGUGGAUUUAGAAGAAAAGAUUACAAUUUGAGGACCUUGGAAUACAGGAUGAGUCAAUGUUUUGAUAAAAUAUUUCCCAUUAAACCUUUCCCAUCAAUCUGCCCCACCGGCCCACCCUCCAAACACACCUAUAUCCCUAUUUCUUAGUACUUAACUUUUAAAACCAAUGUCUUUACAGUGAAAUUAAAUUGAAAAAUACUUCAGUUGGUUAAACUAGGUUUUCCCUAGUUCAUUUUUUAAGUUCUUUCUUCAAAAGCAUCUCCCUUUCUGUUCUUGGUGUCGGAAAUGGUUUUUUCAUUUAGAAAAGGAGAGAAAAGUAGAGGCCAGAAGUCCCAUGUGAGGCUGAUGGGGGUGCACUUAGAGGGCCCAGCUCUUCAGUGGGGGAGCGCAUGGGGGUGGAGACCAAGGUCAGGUUUGCCUCCUCCCGCCACACCAGGUAGGGAGGGGAGCCCUCAUUCCAAUAACUGCACCUGCGCGUAUGGAGUGCGCACGGCCGGAGGGAGAUGGCAAGCGCCCAUCCAGAGACGCCUAUGCGUGGCCCAUGUAGAACCGUGGCCCAGCGAGGAUGUUCUGUAAACAUUCUACAUACCGUGUUGAUUUUUAGCCAUUUACUGCAGGAACCUGCUCAUAUUUUUGUACAUUAUUUAUUCAUUCGGAUUUAUUAAAUUCCUACUUUGUUCCAGCUUAGGUUGUGUGCCGAGCAUUUAAAGGUGAACAAGACUCAUUUCCUCCUUCAAGGACAUCCUUGUCUAGUACAGAGACAUAGACGUGAAAAUGGUUUUAAAUGUAUUUCGAUUUUUUUCUUUCCCACAGGUACCCUCCUGUGUUUAAUUGUGGAUGUGAUUCGUACAAGUUCUGCAGGAACACAGAGAGAUGGUGGUGAAGUUAGAUACAGAAGGUGGGAGCUCAGGGUGAAAAUUCUGGGCCAGAAAUAGAGGUUUGAAGGUCCUCACACAUAAGAAAAGGUUACCAUCAUCAGAGGAAUUGAGAUGACCCAGGAAGAAUAUGUGUAAUGACGAGAGAACAGAGUAAGGACGUAAUUUUAGAGAUUUUAAGUGCCUUGAAAGAUGAAUUUGAGGAGGGUACCAGUUUAUAGUCAGAGGUGACUCAUGUGGUUAGAUGCUACUAAACGUUUGUUUCAAAAGGUGGAAUUAUCAAGUUUGGUCAUUCCUUCCACUCGUGACUCAAGCAAGUCAUAAACAUCCAUCAUAUGUUCGACAUAGUGCCAGACCCCACAGCUAUCUGUGCCAUAAAACAAAGCCCUGCCCUCUUGGGACUUAUGUAUUUGCCAACAUAAAUCUAACCUGAAACAACUGAAAGAUUCUAUGAGAUGCCAGAAUGAGGGUCGCCAAAGCAGUAUAAGACACUGAACACAAUUAAGUGAAAACCACCAUGCAAUCAGGAAUGUCUUUAUGGAAAAAAAGCAUGAAACAAUGCCAUUUGCAGCAAUAUGGAUGGACCUAGAGAUUAUCAUACAAAGUGAAGUAAGUCAGACAGAGGAAGAUAAAUAUCAUAUGACAUCACUUAUAUGUGGAAUCUAAUAAAAAUGAUACAAAAGAACUUGUUUACAAAACAGGAACAGACUCAAAGAUUUCAAAAUCAAACUUACGGUUACCAAAGGGGAAAUGUGGGGGUAAGAGGAGAGAGAAAUUGGGAGUUUGGGAUUAACAUAUACCUAUCACUAUGUAUAAAAUAGAUAACCAACAAGGAUCUGCUGUAUAGCACAGGGAAAUCUACUCAGUAUUCUAUAAUAACCUAUAUGGGGAAAGACUCUGAGAAAGAAUGAAUGUAUGUAUAACGGUUUCACUUUGCUGUACACCUGAAACUAACACAACAUUGUACGCCAACUAGACUCCAAUAAUCUUCUUUAAAAAGAAAAACUAAAAAAAAAAAAA
This 5936-nucleotide long non-coding RNA is filed under the name Sus scrofa (pig). RNAcentral's name for it is "lncRNA (ENSSSCG00050000176.1)". Lineage: Eukaryota; Metazoa; Chordata; Mammalia; Artiodactyla; Suidae. The record is from RNAcentral.